AGGACGAACGCUGGCGGCGUGCUUAGCACAUGCAAGUCAAGGGGGCCCAGCAAUGGGCAACCGGCGAACGGGUGCGUAACACGUGAGCAACCUACCGAAAUGUGGGGGAUAGCCGGCCUAACGGCCGAGUAAUACCGCAUACGCUCUCGAUGAGGCAUUUCAUUGAGAGGAAACCUACGGGACAUUUCGAGGGGCUCGCGGCCUAUCAGCUAGUUGGCGAGGUAACGGCUCACCAAGGCAACGACGGGUAGC
RNAcentral lists this ribosomal RNA (252 nucleotides) under uncultured soil bacterium. Its description in RNAcentral is "partial 16S ribosomal RNA". It matches the Rfam family "Bacterial small subunit ribosomal RNA", at positions 26 to 287 of the family's 1533-position model. The record is from RNAcentral.